AUGUAUGUGAUGAUAUACUUGGAUUACCCUUCAUGAUAUAUUGGGUGAUGUAAGCCCAAGUUUCAGAUGCU
Non-coding RNA from Citrus sinensis (sweet orange), 71 nucleotides. The record is from Rfam. Lineage: Eukaryota; Viridiplantae; Streptophyta; Magnoliopsida; Sapindales; Rutaceae.